CACACGGAAAUGCCAUCCACGACAUUCACGCUUAUCUUGACAAUUUUAUGAGUAGCCAUUAAAGUUAUCUAUGAACAACAUAUGUCUCCAAGUAGUCCAUAUCCACGGACGCGGCUAUUCGAAUAGAUCAUAACCCUGCAGGGGUGUACUUCCUCACACACGCUCUCGCCACUUAUCGCCAUGUGCACGUCAUGCACCUCGGCAACCUUCAAGCGGAAGCCCAGCGAGGGAGUCGGCCACGACCGUUAACCACGCUAAUACUU
This 263-nucleotide long non-coding RNA is filed under the name Hordeum vulgare. RNAcentral describes it as "long non-coding RNA (HVUL_LNC001288)". Lineage: Eukaryota; Viridiplantae; Streptophyta; Magnoliopsida; Poales; Poaceae. The record is from RNAcentral.